GUACACGCUGUGACUAGCAUAUCAAUAAGCGGAGGAAAAGAAACUAACAAGGAUUCCCCUAGUAACGGCGAGUGAAGCGGGAAGAGCUCAAAUUUGAAAUCUUAAAGGGUUUCCCUUUACGAAUUGUAGUUAAAGAAGUGUUUUCUGUUGAGGUUUUGGUAAAAGUUCUUUGGAAUAGGACAUCAUAGAGGGUGAGAAUCCCGUAUUUGACCUUUACUUUCAACUUUGUGAUACACUUUCAAAGAGUCGGAUUGUUUGGGAAUGCAGUCCAAAAUGGGUGGUAAAUUUCAUCUAAAGCUAAAUAUUGGCGAGAGACCGAUAGCGAACAAGUACCGUGAGGGAAAGAUGAAAAGAACUUUGAAAAGAGAGUUAAACAGUACGUGAAAUUGUCAAAAGGGAAGCGUUUGACACCAGUGUUGUUUUUCUGAAAAUCAAUUAAAGAACUGUUUAUGCUAAGCUGUUUAGACUUUAUCAGCUAUCUGUUUAGUUUUGAGCUUUUCUUUAAUGCACUUUUCAGUUAACAAGUCAACAUCAAUUUCUUUUGCUGUAAAAAAGCUUGAGGAAGGUGGCUUGAGAUUCGUCUUAAGUGUUUAUAGCCUCUUGCCUAUGCAGUCGGAGAGAUUGAGGUCUGCAGCGUAGAUCCUUCGGGGCUAAAUGCAUUUGUGCUAAGUUAUAGUAUUUAUAGACAACUUGUUGACUAUGAUUUGUCUUGUAGCUUACUCGCUUAUGUUAUUUUACCUACGCUUAGGAUGUUGACUGAUAUGUAGUCGU
This 771-nucleotide ribosomal RNA is filed under the name uncultured Neocallimastigales. RNAcentral describes it as "partial large subunit ribosomal RNA". It matches the Rfam family "Eukaryotic large subunit ribosomal RNA", at positions 22 to 643 of the family's 3401-position model. Lineage: Eukaryota; Fungi; Neocallimastigomycota; Neocallimastigomycetes; Neocallimastigales. The record is from RNAcentral.